CAACGCAUUCCUGCAUCUCUACGUUGUAAGCAAGGAGACAGGUUUUACCACUCCCCAGAACGGGCUACCAGGCGUCUCCUCCAAGUUACCAGGGUUCUGGUCUAGAAGCACGGUUUCGAUUGCUAAUACAGUUUUGUUUCUGAUGACAUAAUGACGACAUCGCUGCUCACGCUGCUCCCUGUGUGAACUGAGUGCUAGUGUGCAUGUGAUGUUGGGCUGAGUAAACCAGAUGCAUCCUGGAUAUACACCUGAUUACCUUGAUAACAACACAGACACACUGGACGCAGACUCCAGUUCUUAUUAGAAGGACCGAGCACGCCCCCAUUCUCAUCGACGGGGCUGUAGUAGAGCAGGCUGAGAGCUUCAAGUUCCUUGGGGUCCACAUCACCAACAAACUAACUUGGUACAAG
Oncorhynchus tshawytscha (Chinook salmon) is the source of this 410-nucleotide long non-coding RNA. Lineage: Eukaryota; Metazoa; Chordata; Actinopteri; Salmoniformes; Salmonidae. The record is from Ensembl.